RNAcentral lists this transfer RNA (73 nucleotides) under Litorimonas cladophorae. RNAcentral's name for it is "tRNA-Leu". It matches the Rfam family "tRNA". From Rfam's summary of the family: Transfer RNA (tRNA) molecules are approximately 80 nucleotides in length. Their secondary structure includes four short double-helical elements and three loops (D, anti-codon, and T loops). Lineage: Bacteria; Pseudomonadati; Pseudomonadota; Alphaproteobacteria; Maricaulales; Robiginitomaculaceae. The record is from RNAcentral.
GUCUUGUGUAGCCAAGUGGUAAGGCGCUCGAUUUAGAUUCGAUGAACAUGGGUUCGAUUCCCAUCACAAUUUG